This 298-nucleotide ribosomal RNA is filed under the name uncultured bacterium. RNAcentral's name for it is "partial 16S ribosomal RNA". It matches the Rfam family "Bacterial small subunit ribosomal RNA", at positions 29 to 361 of the family's 1533-position model. The record is from RNAcentral.
AACGAACGCUGGCGGCAGGCUUAACACAUGCAAGUCGAGCGCGUAGCAAUACGAGCGGCAGACGGGUGAGUAACGCGUGGGAAUCUACCCAACCCUACGGAAUAACGCAUGGAAACGUGUGCUAAUACCGUAUACGCCCUUCGGGGAAGGAUUAUCGGGAGUGGAUGAGCCGCGUUGGAUUAGCUAGUUGGUGGGGUAAGGACCUACCAAGGCGACGAUCAUAGCUGGUCUGAGAGGAUGAUCAGCCACAUUGGGACUGAGACACGGCCCAAACUCCUACGGAGGCAGCAGUGGGGAA